Molecule: long non-coding RNA, 1205 nt
Filed under: Sus scrofa (pig)
Lineage: Eukaryota; Metazoa; Chordata; Mammalia; Artiodactyla; Suidae
Description: lncRNA (ENSSSCG00055015461.1)
Source: RNAcentral
AAACAUCAGCGAAUUCACAAUGGAGAAAGGCCUUAUGAGUGCAGAGAAUGUGGAAAGUUUUUCAGGUACAACUCCACACUCAUUAAGCACCAGAGAGUUCACACUGGAGAAAGGCCUUAUGAGUGCAGUGAAUGUGGGAAAUUCUUUCGACUCAUCAUACAUAAGUGCAGUGACUGUGGGAAAUUCUUUCAGUAUAGCUCCAACCUUGUUACACACUGGAGAAAUCACACUGGAGAGAGGCCUUAUGAGUGCAGUGAAUGUGGGAAAGCCUUUAGCCACAAGAGUAUACUUGUUCAACAUCAGAAAACCCAUAUUCAAGAAAGGCCUCAUGAGUGCAGUAAAGGUUAGAAGGCCUUCACUAGGAAAUUCCACCUCAUUCAUUACCAGAAAGUCCACAAUGAAGAUGAAGUGGGUGCCUUUAAUGUGGAGAAUUCUUCAAAUACAACUCAACCUUAUUAAACAGAGUUCACAGUCAUAAAAACCUUACCAGUUCAGAGAAUGUGGUAAAUUCUUUAGGUACUACCCCAAACUCCCUACACUGGAGAAGCAACUUAUCAGCUGAUAUUGGCGUGGGUCUUAUGAGUAUAGAAAAUAUUAGAAACUGUUGGUACAGCUCCCCCCUCAUAGUAUACCAAGAGUUCACACUGAAGGAACGCCUUCUGAGUGCAGUGAAUGUAGCUGAAUCUUUACGUGCAACUUUAGCCCCAGUAUACAUCAGAGAUUUCAUGGUGGAGAAAGACCUUAGAAGUGCAGUGAAUAUGGGCUUAUGUACAAGCACUACUUCCACAUCACUCAGCAUCAAAAAGUUCACACCAGAGGGAGAAGUGCAAAUGGGGAAAGACUUCACAAAACGCCUGCUCCAAUCCUUAAGAACUAAUCCUUUUUUAAAUAAAUAUGCUUGGUUUUUUUUUUUGUUUGUUUUGUUUGUUUUGUCUUUUUAUGACCGCUCCCAAGGCAUAUGGAGGUUCCCAGGCUAGGGGUCUAAUCGGAGCUGUAGCUGCUGGCCUACACCACAACCACAGCAAUGCCAGAUCUGAGCCACGUCUAUGACCUACACCACAGCCCCAGCAAUGCCAGAUCCGAGCCACAUCUGUGACCUACACCACAGCUCAUGGCAGUGCCGGAUCCUUAACCCACUGAGCAAGGACAGGGAUUGAACCCGUAGCCUCAUGGUUCCUAGUUGGAUUCGUUUCCACUGCACCACA